RNAcentral lists this long non-coding RNA (3670 nucleotides) under Musa acuminata (dwarf banana). RNAcentral's name for it is "long non-coding RNA (MACU_LNC000688)". Lineage: Eukaryota; Viridiplantae; Streptophyta; Magnoliopsida; Zingiberales; Musaceae. The record is from RNAcentral.
UCGGAUCUGAGGCAGGCCGCCGCAUCCUCGCCACCUCCAGCUACAUCAGCUACGGCGCCCUCAAGCGCGACACCGUGCCUUGCUCCCGUCGCGGCGCCUCCUACUACAACUGCCGCCCCGGCGCCCAGGCCAACCCCUACUCCCGCAGCUGCUCCGCCAUCACCCAGUGCCGCGGUGGAUGAGAGAAAAGCCAGAAAAAAAAAAGGAAGGAGAAGAACCAAUUUGGUAUGUAUUUGGUCACUCUGUUCGAGGUUUAAGUGAUUGGUGUUGUGUGUCAUGAAGCCAUUGUUGUAGCAGAUUUACUAUUUGGUUAUAAUUCUACUUUUUGUUUCCUUUUAAUGCAUCUUUCAGAAAAGAAUUGAUGAUUAAGACUUAGACUUAGUAGUUUCCUGGAAGAUAUCAAUAAUUUAUGUGUAAUUGAGAUGUUCUGCCUUGAUCUUUCAUAAGCUCUGUGUUGUCAUUUAUGAAGCCAUUGUUCUAGCAGUGUUGCUAUUUAGUUAUACUUCUGUACUCUUUCCUUCCGAUGCAUUUUAUCUCUGCAAAAGAAGACAUUUUUCAGGAAAAGAUAGAUGAUUUAGUCUAUGUGGGUUUUAUGUGUAAUUGAGUUUGAUCUUUCAAUUUGAUGUUCAUCAGGAAGAGGUGGGAGGGAAGAGGAAGGGGGGGGGGGGGGGGAAUCAUUAAAAGUUGAUCUGUUUAGAAUUUAUGCCUAGGAAAUGAUGAUAUGGAGCUUUGAUUGUUGGUAAUACAGUGAGAUUGGUGGGGGAAAUAAAUGCUUGUUUAAGGGUAAUGGAGUUGAAUUAUUGGUGAUAUUGACCUUUGGUAGUUGGUUGUCCCCCCUCACUGUUGUUCUUUGGAUGGAAGAGAAGGAUGACAGAUGGAGUGUCAAUGGGGAGAAGAGAAGCCCAAAGGAUCAUGGCAUUUAUAAAAUAAUCAUGAAAUUACUGGUCUCUUAUGGCUUUGAUAGGAUAGGUCAUGUGAAAUUUAGAGAGAGAGAGUAAAUUGGCAAAGAUUUGGCCAUGUUUACUACAAGCAAUCUCUUUGAAAGAUAAGCUUUCUAUGCAUAAAUGGAUUGAUGAUAAUGCAGAAGAGACUAACAGGACUAUAAAAAAAAAAUUUACAUGACAAUUUUACACCCUUCAGUAUUUAUUGUGAUGUUGAACAAUUCAAAUAUAGUGCUUUAUAUGUCUAGGAACAGAAAGCAUAGUAGCAGAAUUCAAAGUCCUUGUUCUGUUUUUGGUUUACUCCACCCACAGUCCCCAUCUCUUAGGUUAUAUAUUGAGGCCAGUUCUAACUUUGAACAUGGAAGGUGGUGAAGAAAAGAAAGAUGCUUUUCUCAACUAGAAAGAAGAAGCCUUACUGAUGCAGCUGAGUUUUCAUAUUAGUAAUUCCUGUUUUCAUGCCCAAAUAGUGUUGCCAAGACAAAAACUAUAUAAAUGUUGCUGAUGCAACUAUGAUUUUUCAUGCUAUUGAUUCCUAUUCUUGUUGUCUAGCUUUCAAAACCAACUUAAAUGCCUGAUUUCUACUAUCAGAAAUUAGCUACACAUGCUAUUAAAACCUUCAGAGCAGGACCAUUCAUUCAUAUGAUCAAUAAUGUUUCCAAUAAAAUAAUCUUGACUAGUAAAACAUUAAAAUCUAUUUGGUUCCCUGUAUUAACUGUCUACUUCAACUUUUUAUGAGGAAAGAAGAGAUUCUGUUCACCCAUAAGCCAUGGAAGAUGAGAAGGGGUCCAAAGAGACUUCCAGAUGAUUGUGGCAGACAAAUGAUCAGUUGUGUCAAGUGUCACUUUUGGGUUGUUGCCCUCCCAAAGAUGGCAUUUCUGGUGGGGAUAUCACCUAUAUUUUAAGGCAUUUAUGACCUACCAAGGUCAAUAGGACUGACAGAUACAAUCAUAGGACCAGAAACACAUCAUCCAUAAAAGACCCAUAUAAACCGACAACGGCAGCUAUACGAACCAACCAAUUAGCAAGUCCCAUCAGCUACCAACAGUGACACUGCAACGAUAGUGUCCUUUUAGACACACGCUGAUUUAUUGUCUAGAUUUUGUGUUAUCAGCGAUUUGUAAAGGAGGAACAAAGGACAAAAGAAACUCAUCUUGAUUUGUUUUGGUCUCUAUCUUGAGAUAAGUGUUCGGUGGUGAUCAUAAGGGAGGGGUUCUAUUUUUCUUGUAAAAGCGAACCUGGUCAUGCGUUCUUGUUUUUGUUCCUAAUGCAGAAAGUUGUAACAAAAGGAGUUUAUAAUUUACAGAAAUCUCUCUAUACAAAAAAUAAGACAAUAAAAUUUUACCAAGCAGCUUCAGUAUUAAAUUUGAUGUAUUAGAUCUGCACUAGAUCACUGAAUCAACUGGGGACCAUCUAAUGUGGUUAAAUCUGGUCAUGCUGGUGAUUCCUCAGGUGUUCCCUCUAAGCCACCAAUUAAUCUUCCUUGUUAGAUCUGGGUUAGACUCCAUAAGAUCUAAGGGGUUCAUGGCCUGUACCGACACGAACGAGCAAUCACAACAAAUCAUAAUAUCACAAAUAAUAUUUGAGAUCAGUUACAUAAGUCUUUUUGUUGCCAUUCAACUUCCUAAAAAAAAGGUGCCACUAAUACAAGAACAAGAGAACAAACAUGAAAAAGAAAUCAGAAUUCAGCGUUGUUGUCUGGGAGCCACCUGAAGGCCUUUCUGUGAACAGUAAGUUGAUUGUACCACCCAUUACUCUUUCAGACACAUGUUUGGUAACUUCUGUUGGCUUUCUCUGCUUCUUGUCAAAGUUCCAUCAAUGUUCUGUGAAGUUGAUGUUUUUUACCUUGUGCUGUUCCAAACAUCUUCUGACAAUUAAUUUUUAUUCAUUAGUUUUCUUUUUUCUUUCAUUUAGAGUUUCUUUGAUCUUUAUAGAGUUGGUUUAGAUGGCAUGUCAUGACACUGGAAUCUUUGACAAGUCUAACAAAAGUUGAUACUUUUGCAGAUUAAUUUUGCUAAUCAUAGAUGUCAAAUAAAGGUCUAAAGUAAAAUAGAGCUAAAAAUGAACUGUUAUCACUUACCUUUCCAACUAAUUUUGUUUUGUUCUCGUUGAAGCUAAGAAACCAGAGCUUUUCUUUGUGCACUGUAAUUGUGCUUUAACUAAUAUCACCGGUUAUUUCAGUCAAAUGUGAGUCUUUGCGUUGUGAAUCUUUGUUUCUUUGUCACUCAUUCAUGUUUUUCAACAGUUUCGAGCUGCCGUAUUGGUGAAAAUAUCAUGCACUGAUCAUCUUUCAUCACAAGCUUUCACGCGUAACACCAUGCCCUUACAGAUGCUCCAAGUCAAUUAAUUCCUCUUUGGUAACUCGCCUUCAAUGUCAUUCCAUGUUGGGUAGGUUAAACUAGAAAUAAACGCACUAGUCUAUCUUUGGAUGAUUCAAAUCUUGUUGGGUUUCAGUAUCCAAUGCUUGACUAAGUAGCCAUUUAACGAAUAAUUUUAAAUCAAAGAAUUUAAAGCUUGAAUCCACAAGCAAAACAUACCUGGUCGCUAAUUUGAAAACGAGCAGUCAUCUACAACGGCGAGGAACCAAAUGAUUGACGAGUUGAACUGUUUAUGGCCGACCCACGGAAUCGCAAGGUUUUGGUUGGUCGAUGUGGGACUUUAACAACCAUAUCACACACCAAAAAUCAUCUUGAGCUGAAGCAUGAACGGUCGAUAGAUCGAGAGCUGAAGUU